Long non-coding RNA from Mangifera indica (mango), 943 nucleotides. RefSeq lists it as uncharacterized. The record is from RefSeq and is a predicted model, not a curated record. NCBI's taxonomy places the organism in Eukaryota, Viridiplantae, Streptophyta, Magnoliopsida, Sapindales, Anacardiaceae. The transcript is spliced from 3 exons.
GUACAAGUGAUCAAGAUAGUUGCGAGGCAGGGUCAAGUCAGCAAAGAUAGAUCUAAGCUAGGGUUUGUGAUAUCGACUACAAAUAAGUUGUUCAAUAAUCUCUCCUUGUGAAGGACAUCUGUUUUUAUUUGCUGAAAGUCUCACACGACGACGAUGCACGAACGAUAGGUAGAUAACACUUGCCUCCUCUAGAUGGAUCCACUCUAAUUGAUCUCCUAAUGGAUUGACAGUCUUCGUGUAGAUUGUACGAUAAAAAGAAGUGUUAUAAUAUGGAUGCACCCAUUGAAUGCAGAUGGUAAGUUUCAUAUAUCUAGCAACAACAAUGACAUAUAUAUAGGGAAUCUGUGGUAGUUAAAAUUUUUUACAGGUACAUGUAUACUCCGUAAGGUCAACCAGAGCAUCAUAUUGGCCAUUACCAAGAAUCUAGUAUCGUUCAGAUGUAAUAAAACGUACCUCCAAGUUUGAAGACUUUCGCACACGUUUGACAAUCUUUUUCUCUACCUAAGGUGUUAUUGGGUUGGUGCAAGAAUCUACAAAUCAUAUAAAUAUAAACAGAUAUGAGUUGUCACCUCAUUCAGUUGGCGACGAUGAACAAGAAGGUGUCACCAGAGUGCCUCCUUCAGUUUUCUCCCCCAUAACAUCAUUGUCAAUUCAGCUCGUUAACUCGUCCAACCAAUUGGUGACGGUCAAGCUCAACGAUAACAAUUUCUUGGUCUAGAAACAACAAAUUUUGAUUUCAAUUCGUGAGUAUGGUCUUGAAAACUUCAGUUUUAGGAGUUCUGCUCCUCCAAGGUUCAUCAUUGGCACACAACAACUCAAUCGUAAUUUUAUUACCCGUCAACGUCAAGAUCAACUGUUGACUUCCCGGAUUCUCUCCUAUGUAAGUCCUAAUUUAUUGUCUCAGUUUGUUGGUAAUGAAACUACAGAAGGACUCUAGAAAGCA